GCAACCACGAACGGGUGGAGCUUGCGGUUUAAUUGGAUUACAACGCCGAAUCUUACCGGGACCGACAGCAAUAUGAAGGCCAGGCUGAAGACUUUGCCGGAUUAGCUGAGAGGUGGUGCAUGGCCGUCGUCAGUUCGUACUGUGAAGCAUCCUGUUAAGUCAGGCAACGAGCGAGACCCACGCCCACAGUUGCCAGCGUACUCUCUGGAGUGACGGGUACACUGUGGGACCGCCGCUGCUAAGCGGAGGAAGGAAUGGGCAACGGUAGGUCAGUAUGCCCCGAAUAUCCCGGGCUACACGCGAGCUACAAUGGUUGGUACAAUGGGUAUCUACCCCGAAAGGGGACGGGAAUCUCCUAAAACCAAUCUUAGUUCGGAUUGAGGGCUGCAACUCGCCCUCAUGAAGCUGGAAUCCGUAGUAAUCGCGUUUCAACAGAACGCGGUGAAUACGUCCCUGCUCCUU
Molecule: ribosomal RNA, 462 nt
Filed under: uncultured Methanosaeta sp.
Lineage: Archaea; Methanobacteriati; Methanobacteriota; Methanomicrobia; Methanotrichales; Methanotrichaceae
Description: bacterial SSU rRNA
Rfam family: Archaeal small subunit ribosomal RNA
Source: RNAcentral